RNAcentral lists this non-coding RNA (145 nucleotides) under Schistosoma mansoni. Lineage: Eukaryota; Metazoa; Platyhelminthes; Trematoda; Strigeidida; Schistosomatidae. The record is from RNAcentral.
CCCCGGCUGUUACUGCUACCUUGACGUGGUGGUCGGGCUUGCUUAUCGUGAUGAACCAGUCGACCUAUACUGGCUGGAACAAUCGCCCCUCGUUGUCCUACCAUGCCAGACUGGUCGGUUGAAGAGCGGUAAGACUAAAAGCAGC